AGUUGUUUGAAAUCAAAAGGUCUAGUGUCCACGCGUUGUGUUUUGCUCACAUUUGGCUGCCUGGCCUGGAAUCCCCCACUGAUGCAGUGUGCGCAGCCAGCCCUUAGCCAGAGCAGUGUUUUAUUGGCCCUGGAGCGUGUCCCCUUGUUGUUGUAACACUUGCUCUUUGCGAGCGUGUGCUAGCCCUGAUGUUUAAUCUUUGUGAAGCAGUAGCUUGUGAGCAUCAGACGUAUUUCUCUCAUAAUGACUGAAGUUAGGCAAGAAGUCAAAACUUAAUAUGCCUGUGAGCUCUUGCCAGUGUUUUCUGGAUUCAUGCCUUGAGAGAGGAACACGAAGGAAGGCUCGAGUGGCUCCAAUCCAAAUAAAGCAUUAUUCAGAGCUGCACUCCAGGAAUCGUUGUUUUCCACCACUCAGAGCUAUCAAUGGAGCUGGUUGUUCUCACAGUUAUUUCUAGCUGGGGUGAAGCUUCUGAAACAGUAAGCACUCCUGGGUUUAUGUGGUGGUCUGUUAUGACUAAUUGUCCAGAUUAUCAUCUACAGCAGGCAGUUUGUAAAUCAUCCAUCCAGGGAGCAAUUGAUAGCCAAGGCCUAAUGGAAUGGCGAUUCCACAUCUCCCUCUGAGCCCAAACGGAGACUUGGAAAUUACAGAGCUUCCUUCUCUUAAACUGCUGUUGCUCUGUGAUGCAGUACAUGGAGUGGUGAGCUUCUGAGGAGCAGGAGACAGGAGUGAACAGAGGAAUGUUCCUAGGAACGAAUGAAAGUCUAUGAAUGACUGAAAAAAAAAUAUAAGAGGUGGAAGGGAGGACACUUGGAGCCUCUGGCUUGGAGAAAAGAAAGGGUAAUGUAUGCAUGCAUCUGACAAAUUAUUCCAUUAACAAGAACAGAGUUAAUUCUGCCAGAGAAAAAGACAUUGGAAGUAAGAGCGCUGCCUGACUUCUUGUUGAAUAAAUCAACUGAAGAAACUCAGAUGAGAAACAGAGCUGGACACCAGAAUUGGGAAGGAAACUCCACAGAGGGAAGUUUGUGCUCCAGCUCAGCAGCAUGCAUUUCAGUUUUUGUCUUGAGAUAAAAUGUUUGCCUACUCUUCCUAAGGACACUGAUUUGUCUAACAAGAUGUUAUCACUCUCCAAACUUUGCCUGUAAUCUUAGCUCAUCAUGCUGUAGCAACCCUACAUCGUCACUGUAUUUGUUAUCUUUGUCAGCUGUGAUAGGCAGAUUUACAGUAGUUUACUUAGACACAUAUUUU
Pezoporus flaviventris is the source of this 1245-nucleotide long non-coding RNA. RefSeq lists it as uncharacterized. The transcript has 4 exons. The record is from RefSeq and is a predicted model, not a curated record. Lineage: Eukaryota; Metazoa; Chordata; Aves; Psittaciformes; Psittacidae.